UACAGAGGGGGCAAGCGUUGUUCGGAAUUACUGGGCGUAAAGGGCGCGUAGGCGGCCUGCUAAGUCGAACGUGAAAUCCCCGGGCUCAACCCGGGAACUGCGUCCGAUACUGGUUGGCUUGAAUCCGGGAGAGGGAUGCAGAAUUCCAGGUGUAGCGGUGAAAUGCGUAGAUAUCUGGAGGAAUACCGGUGGCGAAGGCGGCAUCCUGGACCGGCAUUGACGCUGAGGAGCGAAAGCUAGGGGAGCAAACGGG
This 253-nucleotide ribosomal RNA is filed under the name uncultured bacterium. Its description in RNAcentral is "partial 16S ribosomal RNA". It matches the Rfam family "Bacterial small subunit ribosomal RNA", at positions 524 to 776 of the family's 1533-position model. The record is from RNAcentral.